AGAGUUUGAUCCUGGCUCAGGAUGAACGCUGGCGGCGUGCUUAACACAUGCAAGUCGAACGGAGCUGUUCCUUCGGGGGCAGCUUAGUGGCGGACGGGUGAGUAACGCGUGGAUAACCUGGCCCAUACAGGGGGAUAGCAGCUGGAAACGGCUGAUAAUACCGCAUAAGCGCACGGGACCGCAUGGCCCUGUGUGAAAAGCUGAGGCGGUAUGGGAUGGAUCCGCGUCUGAUUAGGCAGUUGGCGGGGUAACGGCCCACCAAACCGACGAUCAGUAGCCGGCCUGAGAGGGUGGACGGCCACAUUGGGACUGAGACACGGCCCAAACUCCUACGGGAGGCUGCAGUGGGGAAUAUUGCACAAUGGGGGGAACCCUGAUGCAGCGACGCCGCGUGAGCGAGGAAGUAUUUCGGUAUGUAAAGCUCUAUCAGCAGGGAAGACAAUGACGGUACCUGACUAAGAAGCCCCGGCUAACUACGUGCCAGCAGCCGCGGUAAUACGUAGGGGGCAAGCGUUAUCCGGAUUUACUGGGUGUAAAGGGAGCGUAGACGGCGCAGCAAGUCUGAAGUGAAAGGGCGGGGCUUAACCCUGUGACUGCUUUGGAAACUGCGGUGCUUGAGUGCCGGAGGGGUAAGCGGAAUUCCUAGUGUAGCGGUGAAAUGCGUAGAUAUUAGGAGGAACACCAGUGGCGAGGCGGCUUACUGGACGGUAACUGACGUUGAGGCUCGAAGGCGUGGGGAGCAAACAGGAUUAGAUACCCUGGUAGUCCACGCGGUAAACGAUGAUACUAGGUGUCAGGCA
Molecule: ribosomal RNA, 800 nt
Filed under: uncultured bacterium
Lineage: Bacteria
Description: bacterial SSU rRNA
Rfam family: Bacterial small subunit ribosomal RNA
Source: RNAcentral